This is a long non-coding RNA of Cyanistes caeruleus (blue tit), 5283 nucleotides long. RefSeq lists it as uncharacterized. Lineage: Eukaryota; Metazoa; Chordata; Aves; Passeriformes; Paridae. The record is from RefSeq and is a predicted model, not a curated record.
CCACGGCAGCACGGGCAGCCGGAGAACGCGACACUUCUCUGUCAUCAGCCUGGAUGAAGAGAGAGAGGUGCCUGGGUAACCUGGAAGGUGCUGCCUCUCUCUGUCGGAGAGUGGGGACAAUGCAGGAGGUGGCUUUUGCCCGAUCUGACAAAGAGGAGGAAAACCAGCUGGGUUCCCAGUCAGGGCUCCAAGCAGAUGUCUGCAUUAGAGGAUAAAAGAGCUAAAUGAAAAUAACUUAUGUACAGUGAAAACUGGACUACGGCAUCUUCUGUCACAAGUCAUGCAUCUCCUCAGGGUGAAAAGCUUUUCACAUCACAAGACACAUGUUUGACUGUGACUUAUCAUUUCCAGGUUAGGAACAUACUUGAGUUCCCUGACGUGCUACAGACCAUUCAUCAUUUCAACCUGUGCUACUCUUGUUUUUAAGCUAACUUUUUUAGUGCUAGUGAAUUUGAUUUAGAGACAUCAGCAAAGGAGUGACACGGCUUCCCUAGCAUGGUUGUCUAUGCCAGUUCAGAUUCCGACCCCACACAUUGCUGAAAUGAGCCAACGUCAAGCCAGAGCUUGCACAAGGAAACAAGGAAACCUCAUUGAAUUUAGUGCUGGAUAAUUUUACUGGAUCUGAAAACAGAACAGAUUCUGCUCAGCACAACACAUGCAGUGGCAGAAAGGCAUCCUCCAAACGCCCUGGACAUCCUGAGCUGAAGAGACCUUCUCUAGGGGUGAAACAGUGCUUUGGUCUCGGUGCUAAUUCAGCCCUUGUCCUCUCUGCUGUGACUGCCAACAACCGUAUCAAUUAGUCGUACCAAUUGUGAUGGUGAUUUCUGUGAUGCGAACACCUGUCCUCUAGGAACUGGGCGAAGGCGACCAAACAGUUGUCAGAUGUGUGCACUGGAGCAGAAGUAGCCAAUUCCUCCCUGAAGAUGGCAAGCCCUGGGUUCCUGAGGUGUCCUGACAGUGAGUGUGGGGUUUCUGCUUGCACUGAUGGCAUCUUCUGACCUCCUGAGAGCUCCUGAGGACUGUGGAUGGCUUAAUCGUGUACCAGUAUGGUUUGCUUUUUCCUACAAAGAAGGCCACACAGAGACCUACAUACCCAACCAAGCUGGACAUGUAGUGGUCACUAAACCAGUUGCAAUCUAUGAAAUAGAGCAGGUUAAUAAUUGGCUGAAGAUGUUUGUCUGAGUUGUUGGUAAUGAUAGCCUCUGGCAGAUCAAUACAACUGGAAUACAUGCUGUCUUGAAAGAAAGACUGAAGAGAAACCUUUUCUAGCUCCACCUGCCCCCACCCCCGCAAAAGACUGACCUGAUGGCAAGAGGCUGUUAAAGCCCUGCAGAUCACUGAAUGAUAACAAGACUGAGGAUUUACAGUGGAUUCAAGGUGCUUCUCUGCUCUGGAAUUCCUUCUGACUCGUCAAAGAGAUGACAAACAAGUCCCUCACUCCUGAGGUGUCGCACACAACUUCAAGGAGCAUAAAUAUCCUGUUGUGUUUCCUCUAUCAGCAGUUUACUGUGUGGUGUAUCUCAGCCAUGUAUGUGGCACAUCAUUCACUGCUCCUUUCUCAGACCUCUGGAUAAGGUCCAGUUCUCUGGAUCCCUGAAAAUGGAGAUGUUUCCGAGGCCAGAGCCUGGACUGAAUUCUCUCUCCUUGAAUCCUGUGCAAGCAAGCCUUGCUGUUCUGGAAAGAGUGUUGCUGGCUCUGGGAGCAAAAAGUGCACUGCCACUCUGAAUACUUUCAUCAAAGAGUGGUAAACCAGCAGCUUGCUGUGUUUGCACAAAAUAACUGCUGCAGUGUGCUGAAAAACAUCCAACCUGCACUUCUGCUCCAAGUACGUUGUUUCAUGCUGUAUGGUCAAUAAGUGUAUGGAUAAUCAGGAAACUUGGCCCUCCUGUUACCCAGAGCUGUUUCUUCCUGAAGCAAGAAGCCUCUGUAUAAGAACACGAUUUUAUACCGAUGAAGAAAUCGCAGUGUGAGCUGACAAUUGGAAGCACUUUCCCACCUGGGAUUAGAUGAGAAUUUUUCAUGAUAUAAGGGAUGACACUAUCAAGCAACAUAAAUAUAUUUCAGACACUGAAGAGAGAGCAAAAUUAGGACACACUGCAUGCAAAUUCUCUGCAGAGGUGCCCGUGCCCCCACUGCCAGCUCGCUGCCUCUGCUGCUGAAAUCAAUGGGAGUUUUUGCACUGACUUCAAUAGGAGAAGAGACUACUGUACAAAGCACACUACUUUUCACCGGUAAUGGAAAUGUCACAGUGGUGCCAUUCAGGAAGGAAACCAAGUGGAGGGAAAUUAAAGAGGAAACUCCAGUCUUGUGCAGUUUAGUUGCUGAUAGCUCAUCUCGCUCAGCCUGCUGCACCCUCAGCCGGUUACACGGUGCUGCCUGGUUUAGCAUUCUUUGUCUCUUUGUCAUUUCUUACUGAGCCCACAAAGAAAGGUUUUAUCUCACUCCUCUGGAAAAGAAAGCGCCUAGAGAUUGAAGAGAUCAGGUGGCAUUUCACCUCUAGUUUUCUUCAUUCCCAGCUGGAGAGCUUUGAAUGCUCCGCACAGGCAACUAUUCUCUGACUAUUCUAUAGCUAGAUGAAGGACCAAUGGCCAAAAUGUCAUCCUUAACCUUAUUUUCUAUUCCUUGUUUCUAGUUUAACAACCAACAUUUUUACUUCCUGUUGUUUGAUUUGCAGCCAAAAUUCUGACGUGUUAUCAGUUUUGUUGCCAGAUAGCGCAUUAAGCCUUACUAAGGGGUAAACAUAAUGAUCUUCAUUAAACCUUCUAAAUGAACCCACCUCCUGCUUCUUCAGGUGGAGGAAGGCAUUGACAAGGAACACUGCUGAACUGUCUUAUAGCUAUUUUCCCCUUGCAAGCAGAAGGAGGGAGAGAUGAGUGGCAGCUUUAAAGAAGGAAAAAAGUUAGAUAAACAUGAGAGGGUUUGUGAGAUUUCCUUUCUUAAUGGCAAAGUUUUACAGCAAUAAAUCACAAUUCAGUCCAUGCCAUUAGUUUUGGGGGCAUUAUAUCCCCUCAUUAAAGUGCAUAAACAAUUAUAUUUAUUGAAGGUAAUGUACUGUGUAGUGCAUUAUAACGACACUCAUUAACAUAUGUAAUCAUCAUUUGAAUGGGCUUUACUACAAUGUAAACUGAUAAUGGCAUGAUUACCCACUGGGUUAUUAACUUUUCAGUCCUAAGAUAAUAAAAGGUGAUACAAGAAACAAAAAGCAUAUGUGCAUUGCCCUUCACAUGUGAUUUAUGUGCUUCACUGUGGAGCUAUGAACACAGGUACCCAUCAUUGGGGAGACUGGCUCUUUAUUGCACAUUGUAUUUGACAGAAUAAUAAAUGUAGCGGAAUGGUUCUUGGGUGGGCAUCUGGGGAAAAAAAGUCCCGAGAAUAAGGCGGGCAAUACUUCAAACUGCAAGACCCAGCAAAGGAAAUAAUUUUGUCUGUCUCUCUGUCUCUCACUAGCACAGUGUGGCUUACAGAUCUUCAUAUGCUCUGUCAGACUCACACAGAUUAGGGGGAAAAAAAAAAUCCAUCUUCUUUAUAUGUUUCUCCUCCUUCUUCUUUAGCCCACCAUGCGUUCCUCUCUGCCUGAGCUAUAAUUGCUGUUUAUGAGAAAAUGAAGGGAUGCAUUAUGCUAAGGUACCUGUGUGCUAAGGUAUUCAUAUUAUGCUAAGUGUAUGCUUGUAUCAAACAGAUGGUUUCAGGUAUUGAAAUGCAGCUUAGCUGCAGUAUUCUGCAGAGUAGAUUUAUCAGUUUGCUGGAGCUUCUCUUCUAUAAAAUGCCUAUUUCGAGGCAUCAGAGGUAUUAUAAAUACAGCUUAUUUGUGUAAUUUAUCAGCCCUCUCCGGGGUUUGUCUCUGUGGAAUCUUAGUGCCUUAAUUUUAAUGAAUGAAUCUGAGUUUGUUUUAGGAGGGGAUGAGUUAAGAAAUAUUAAAAUAAAAAAGGCUCACGAGCAGCCAUUCAAAAAAGUACCAGUUACCAAUAGACAGGGCUUCUCCAACAUUAAAUGGUAUAUAUAUACUAAAGUGAAAAAUUAUGUGUAAGUCUGCAGUACCUAUGGUGAAUGGAAAUACAUCAGCCAUUGUGUGCUAGCAAGACCUGUUUCUCCACUAAACUUUGAGCUGCAGACAAGGGCAGAUAUAUCAACAGGUGAUAAAAAUUUGCCCUGACACAGUGCCAAUACAGAAGCAUGUGGAGCCAGAAACUGCAGAGUUCCCAAGUGGCAGAGGAACAGUCCAACAGGUCCGAGACAAACUCUUCACUGCUUAUAGCAUAGAGUGUGUGACAAGGACAAGAACAGUGGUGACCAGAGCAUGUCUGGGCCCAGCUGCUUUAUCCACCUUCAGGACCAUGUGUGACAAGAUGCACAACCUUGCAACUGUGCUGGUCAAAGUUAGCUGCCAAACAGACCUAACCAUGGAGGGGUAACAUUAAAAACCCCCAUGCCCAGAAAAAAACCCAAACAAUCCGGCCAGAGCCUUGAGUUUGAUGGCAGAUACCACCAAGAAACACCACUGAAGAAGAGUUAAUGUUGCCAUUAAAAUUCAGGUUAAUCUCAUAGUCAUCUCUUACUUUAGAAGUCCUUUGAAAUGAAAUUGUUUGGAACUUCUAUUAGCUUGGCAUUCCUUUAAGGAGUCCACUGUCAGUCCCUGGCCCUUGAAGAGGCUAAAUAUCUGCACUUUCAGCUCUCCAUGGAAUUCUAGAAAGCUCUGGGAUGGUUUAUGGUUUUCCAUUAGCCAAGGGUCUAAUAGAGACCUGAGAUCCGUUAAGUGGGAAAUUCUUCUCAUGGAAAGCAAUAUACCGUAAUUCUUUGCUAAAAUCUGAGCUCACACAAGAAAUCUGAGCUUGUGGUAAAGACCAGGGUGCAGUAAGUUUGUGCAGGAAAUUACUUCAUACUGUUUGUUAUUGGACUAUUUAUCCACAACUUUUUAGACAACAGAGGCGAUGGACUUGAUUCGCUCUUGAACCAAAUGGGGCAGAUGCUCAUUAGAUGACUGGCCCUGUGGACAGGAGCUUUAAAUCAUGCCCUGGUAUUGCAAACACCUCAUUAGUGAUUUGGAAACUGCUGAGGGGCUAAGGAGAAUGAGAACACCCUUCUCUGCUCCGCUGACAGCAUUUUUCCAGAUCAGCUGUACUCAUUUAGGAAGUCACCAAGGGCUGAGAACCUUGCACCACUCUGACCUCCCCCCCGGCUGGGGCAGACUUUCUGCCAUGGUAGUGCCAGUAGCAGCAUAAGUGAAUCAAACCUAUUGCUGUUUUUUGGCCAUGAUAACUUGACUUACUCUUAUGAUUGAACUGU